Molecule: ribosomal RNA, 482 nt
Filed under: uncultured bacterium
Lineage: Bacteria
Description: partial 16S ribosomal RNA
Rfam family: Bacterial small subunit ribosomal RNA
Source: RNAcentral
AUUGAACGCUGGCGGCAUGCUUUACACAUGCAAGUCGAACGGUAACAGGCCGCAAGGUGCUGACGAGUGGCGCACGGGUGAGUAAUGCAUCGGAACGUGCCCAGUCGUGGGGGAUAACUACUCGAAAGAGUAGCUAAUACCCCAUACGAUCUAUGGAUGAAAGCGGGGGACCGUAAGGCCUCGCGCGAUUGGAGCGGCCGAUGUCAGAUUAGGUAGUUGGUGGGGUAAAGGCUCACCAAGCCAACGAUCUGUAGCUGGUCUGAGAGGACAACCAGCCACACUGGGACUGAGACACGGCCCAGACUCCUACGGGAGGCAGCAGUGGGGAAUUUUGGACAAUGGGCGCAAGCCUGAUCCAGCAAUGCCGCGUGCAGGAAGAAGGCCUUCGGGUUGUAAACUGCUUUUGUACGGAACGAAACGGCUCUGGUUAAUACCCGGGGCUAAUGACGGUACCGUAAGAAUAAGCACCGGCUAACUACGUG